Non-coding RNA from Picea glauca (white spruce), 121 nucleotides. NCBI's taxonomy places the organism in Eukaryota, Viridiplantae, Streptophyta, Pinopsida, Pinales, Pinaceae. The record is from Rfam.
ACAUGACUACAACAUAGCGUUAAUGCACCAGAUCCCAUUAGAACUCCGCAGUUAAGCGCACUUAGGAUAGAUUAUUACUGGGAUGGGUGACCUCUCAUGAAGUCCUAGUGUUUUACAUGCC